Homo sapiens (human) is the source of this 378-nucleotide long non-coding RNA. RefSeq lists it as uncharacterized. The transcript is spliced from 3 exons. NCBI's taxonomy places the organism in Eukaryota, Metazoa, Chordata, Mammalia, Primates, Hominidae. The record is from RefSeq and is a predicted model, not a curated record.
GUUUUAGUCCAGCGGCACCAUUCCGUACAAGAGCAGUUAUAUUUUAGGAAACUGGGACAAGAGGUCAAGGCUGGGAGUGCUUCGGGACUGGCUGGAUCAUGGUUUUUGGAGACAGGCCUGGAAAUGGAGUGUGGCACUAGAAGAGAAGAACUUCGUUUCCAGGUCAGCAUCACAAGACGCAUGAAAGAGGACUCAUCGCCAGGGCAUGGAGCUGGUGUUUUGAUCAAAAUGGAAUUUGCUCUCAAAUAGACAUGUAUUCACUAAUCUCCUUUCUUUUAAAUAAGUAAAUAAAACAAACACAAAAUCUCUUCCAGCUCAGCUGACUAAGUCCUAGUGGGGAUGACAGCAACAUUCACUUGCAAGAUCCCACAGAGCUAG